GACGAACGCUGGCGGCGUGCCUAAUACAUGCAAGUCGAGCGGGCCUCCGGAGGUGCUUGCACCUCCGGAAGGCCAGCGGCGGACGGGUGAGUAACACGUGGGCAACCUGCCUUUGAGGCCGGGAUAACACCGGGAAACCGGUGCUAAUACCGGAUGCGUCCCCUUUCGCGCCUGCGAGAGGGGAGAAAGACGGUCUUUAAGGCCGUCGCUCAAAGAGGGGCCCGCGGCGCAUUAGCUGGUUGGGGGGGUAAGGGCCUACCAAGGCGACGAUGCGUUGCAGACCUGAGAGGGUGAUCGGCCACACUGGGACUGAGACACGGCCCAGACUCCUGCGGGAGGCAGCAGUAGGGAAUCAUCCGCAAUGGGCGAAAGCCUGACGGUGCAACGCCGCGUGAGUGAGGAAGGUUUUCGGAUCGUAAAGCUCUGUUGUGAGGGAAGAACAGCUUCCGGAGGAAAUGCCGGAGGUUUGCCGGUACCUCACCAGAAAGCCCCGGCUAACUACGUGCCAGCCGCCGCGGUAA
This 521-nucleotide ribosomal RNA is filed under the name uncultured bacterium. RNAcentral describes it as "partial 16S ribosomal RNA". It matches the Rfam family "Bacterial small subunit ribosomal RNA", at positions 28 to 523 of the family's 1533-position model. The record is from RNAcentral.